This 253-nucleotide ribosomal RNA is filed under the name uncultured bacterium. Its description in RNAcentral is "partial 16S ribosomal RNA". It matches the Rfam family "Bacterial small subunit ribosomal RNA", at positions 524 to 776 of the family's 1533-position model. The record is from RNAcentral.
UACGAAGGGUGCAAACGUUGCUCGGAAUUACUGGGCGCAAAGGGUGCGUAGGCGGUUAUAUAAGUUAGAUGUGAAAUCCCUAGGCUUAACCUGGGAACUGCGUUUAAUACUGUAUAGCUAGAGUACUGAAGAGGUUAGUGGAAUUUCCAGUGUAGCGGUGAAAUGCGUAGAUAUUGGAAGGAACACCAGUGGCGAAGGCGACUAACUGGUCAGAUACUGACGCUGAGGCACGAAAGCGUGGGGAGCAAACAGG